GAUGAACGCUGGCGGCGUGCCUAAUACAUGCAAGUCGAGCGAACAGACGAGGAGCUUGCUCCUCUGACGUUAGCGGCGGACGGGUGAGUAACACGUGGAUAACCUACCUAUAAGACUGGGAUAACUUCGGGAAACCGGAGCUAAUACCGGAUAAUAUAUUGAACCGCAUGGUUCAAUAGUGAAAGACGGUUUUGCUGUCACUUAUAGAUGGAUCCGCGCCGCAUUAGCUAGUUGGUAAGGUAACGGCUUACCAAGGCACCGAUGCGUAGCCGACCUGAGAGGAGGAGCAGCGACACUGGAAAUGAGACACGGUCGAGAGUCGUACGGGAGGGAGAAGUCGGGAGUAUUGAACAAUGGGCGCAAGACUGAUGCAGCAAUGACGCGGGAAUGAAGAAGGCCUUCGGGUUGUAAAGUACUUUGAGCGGGGAGGAAGGGAGUAAAGCUAAUACCUUUGCUCAUGGACGUUACCCGCAGAAGAAGCACCGGCUAACUCCGUG
Molecule: ribosomal RNA, 497 nt
Filed under: uncultured bacterium
Lineage: Bacteria
Description: partial 16S ribosomal RNA
Rfam family: Bacterial small subunit ribosomal RNA
Source: RNAcentral